Molecule: ribosomal RNA, 360 nt
Filed under: Klebsiella pneumoniae
Lineage: Bacteria; Pseudomonadati; Pseudomonadota; Gammaproteobacteria; Enterobacterales; Enterobacteriaceae
Description: bacterial LSU rRNA
Rfam family: Bacterial large subunit ribosomal RNA
Source: RNAcentral
GCCAUUUAAAGUGGUACGCGAGCUGGGUUUAGAACGUCGUGAGACAGUUCGGUCCCUAUCUGCCGUGGGCGCUGGAGAAUUGAGGGGGGCUGCUCCUAGUACGAGAGGACCGGAGUGGACGCAUCACUGGUGUUCGGGUUGUCAUGCCAAUGGCACUGCCCGGUAGCUAAAUGCGGAAGAGAUAAGUGCUGAAAGCAUCUAAGCACGAAACUUGCCCCGAGAUGAGUUCUCCCUGAGACUUUAAGUCUCCUGAAGGAACGUUGAAGACGACGACGUUGAUAGGCCGGGUGUGUAAGCGCAGCGAUGCGUUGAGCUAACCGGUACUAAUGAACCGUGAGGCUUAACCUUACAACGCCGAAG